GCGAACGCUGGCGGCAGGCUUAACACAUGCAAGUCGAACGGGCAUAGCAAUAUGUCAGUGGCAGACGGGUGAGUAAUGCAUCGGAACGUACCCAGUCGUGGGGGAUAACUACGCGAAAGCGUAGCUAAUACCGCAUACGCCCUGAGGGGGAAAGCGGGGGACCUUCGGGCCUCGCGCGAUUGGAGCGGCUGAUGUCGGAUUAGCUAGUUGGUGGGGUAAAGGCCUACCAAGGCGACGAUCCGUAGCUGGUCUGAGAGGAUGAUCAGCCACACUGGGACUGAGACACGGCCCAGACUCCUACGGGAGGCAGCAGUGGGGAAUUUUGGACAAUGGGCGCAAGCCUGAUCCAGCCAUGCCGCGUGAGUGAAGAAGGCCUUCGGGUUGUAAAGCUCUUUCAGACGGAAAGAAAUCGGGCGCGUGAAUAGCGUGCCUGGAUGACGGUACUGUCAGAAGAAGCACCGGCUAACUACGU
Molecule: ribosomal RNA, 472 nt
Filed under: uncultured bacterium
Lineage: Bacteria
Description: bacterial SSU rRNA
Rfam family: Bacterial small subunit ribosomal RNA
Source: RNAcentral